UACGUAGGGGGCAAGCGUUGUCCGGAAUCAUUGGGCGUAAAGCGCGUGUAGGCGGCUCGGUAAGUCUGCUCUGAAAGCCCGGGGCUCAACCCUGGGAGGCGGGUGGAUACUGCUGAGCUCGAGUCCGGAAGAGGCGAGUGGAAUUCCUGGUGUAGCGGUGAAAUGCGCAGAUAUCAGGAGGAACACCAAUGGCGAAGGCAGCGCGCUGGGACGGUACUGACGCUGAGACGCGAAAGCGUGGGGAGCAAACAGG
Molecule: ribosomal RNA, 253 nt
Filed under: uncultured bacterium
Lineage: Bacteria
Description: partial 16S ribosomal RNA
Rfam family: Bacterial small subunit ribosomal RNA
Source: RNAcentral